GACGAACGCUGGCGGCGUGGAUUAGGCAUGCAAGUCGAACGGUAUCAUCCUUUCGGGGGUGAGAGAGUGGCGAACUGGUGAGUAACACGUAGGUUAUCUACCCUCAAGACGGGGACAACCCAGGGAAACUUGGGCUAAUACCGGAUGUGAGCAACUUUUAGUUGUUUGAAAGGUGGCGUAAGCUGUCGCUUGGGGAUCGAGCCUGCGUCCUAUUAGUUAGUUGGUGAGGUAACGGCUCACCUAGGCAAUGAUAGGUAGGCGGCCUUAACGGGUGGUCGCCCACACUGGGAUUGAGAUACGGCCCAGACUCCUACGGGAGGCAGCAGUCGAGAAUAGUCUACAAUGGUCGGAAGACUGAUAGUGCGACGCCCGCGUGAACGAUGAAUCCCUUCGGGGUGUAAAGUUCUUUUAUAUGUGAGCAGUGCUUCUUAUAUUAACAGUAUGGGGAGAGAGAUAUUAGCAUAUGAAUAAGCAACGGCUAACUCCGUGCCAGCAGCCGCGGUAAACUCGU
Molecule: ribosomal RNA, 511 nt
Filed under: uncultured bacterium
Lineage: Bacteria
Description: bacterial SSU rRNA
Rfam family: Bacterial small subunit ribosomal RNA
Source: RNAcentral